This 238-nucleotide ribosomal RNA is filed under the name uncultured bacterium. Its description in RNAcentral is "partial 16S ribosomal RNA". It matches the Rfam family "Bacterial small subunit ribosomal RNA", at positions 100 to 339 of the family's 1533-position model. The record is from RNAcentral.
GGACGGGUGAGUAAUGCUUGGGAACUUGCCCUAACGUGGGGGACAACAGUUGGAAACGACUGCUAAUACCGCAUAAUGUCUUCGGACCAAAGGUGGCCUCUAUUUAUAAGCUAUCGCGUUAGGAUGGGCCCAAGUGGGAUUAGCUAGUUGGUAAGGUAAAGGCUUACCAAGGCGACGAUCCCUAGUUGGUCUUAGAGGAUGACCAGCCACACUGGAACUGAGACACGGUCCAGACUCC